GACGUAGGGGGCAAGCGUUAUUCGGAAUUAUUGGGCGUAAAGCGCUCGUAGGCGGGACUGGAAGUCCGUGUUGAAAGACCUCGGCUCAACUGAGGGACCGGCUCGGAUACUCUAGUUCUUGAGGCAAUCAGAGGGUGAUGGAAUUCCCGGUGUAGCGGUGGAAUGCGUAGAUAUCGGGAGGAACACCAGUGGCGAAGGCGAUCACCUGGGGUUGUUCUGACGCUGAGGAGCGAAAGCUAGGGGAGCAAACGGG
RNAcentral lists this ribosomal RNA (253 nucleotides) under uncultured bacterium. Its description in RNAcentral is "partial 16S ribosomal RNA". It matches the Rfam family "Bacterial small subunit ribosomal RNA", at positions 524 to 776 of the family's 1533-position model. The record is from RNAcentral.